Camellia sinensis is the source of this 272-nucleotide non-coding RNA. The record is from RefSeq and is a predicted model, not a curated record. Lineage: Eukaryota; Viridiplantae; Streptophyta; Magnoliopsida; Ericales; Theaceae.
CUAGAAAAAGGACCUUUUGCUACUAUAUAAUUUGCGACCACUUGAUCAGCCGUCGCAAAUAACCAAUUUAUUCCUCUUUUACCCGUUUUCCUUCCUUAUAUUUGCCCUAGUUUUAGAAAAAUUAAAACACGGAUUGUUCUCUCUCUCUCUCGCGUUACAGACAUGCAUAGCUCUGCUCUCUCGCUCUUCCGCUCGCCAUUGUCGUCUGAAGAUCUCCAUCGGUGAUUUCAUUGCAAAUUAGGUGAUUUCAUCGGUGUCUUGUGAGAAUAGAA